RNAcentral lists this ribosomal RNA (359 nucleotides) under uncultured bacterium. RNAcentral's name for it is "bacterial SSU rRNA". It matches the Rfam family "Bacterial small subunit ribosomal RNA", at positions 8 to 353 of the family's 1533-position model. The record is from RNAcentral.
AGAGUUUGAUCCUGGCUCAGGAUGAACGCUAGCUACAGGCUUAACACAUGCAAGUCGAGGGGAAACGACAUCGAAAGCUUGCUUUUGAUGGGCGUCGACCGGCGCACGGGUGAGUAACGCGUAUCCAACCUGCCCACCACUUGGGGAUAACCUUGCGAAAGUAAGACUAAUACCCAAUGACGUCUCUAGAAGACAUCUGAAGGAGAUUAAAGAUUUAUCGGUGAUGGAUGGGGAUGCGUCUGAUUAGCUUGUUGGCGGGGUAACGGCCACCGAAGGCGACGAUCAGUAGGGGUUCUGAGAGGAAGGUCCCCGACAGUUGGAACUGAGACACCGGUACCAAACUCCCGUACGGGACGGCA